UCGCUAGUAAUCGUGGAUCAGAAUGCCACGGUGAAUACGUUCCCGGGCCUUGUACACACCGCCCGUCACACCAUGGGAGUGGGCUGCAAAAGAAGUGGGUAGUUUAACCUUCGGGAGGACGCUCACCACUUUGUGGUUCAUGACUGGGGUGAAGUCGUAACAAGGUAGCGCUAGGGGAACCUGGCGCUGGAUCACCUCCUUA
This 202-nucleotide ribosomal RNA is filed under the name Vibrio vulnificus. RNAcentral's name for it is "partial 16S ribosomal RNA". It matches the Rfam family "Bacterial small subunit ribosomal RNA", at positions 1332 to 1533 of the family's 1533-position model. The record is from RNAcentral. Lineage: Bacteria; Pseudomonadati; Pseudomonadota; Gammaproteobacteria; Vibrionales; Vibrionaceae.